UACGAGGGGGGCAAGCGUUGUUCGGAAUUAUUGGGCGUAAAGGGCGCGUAGGCGGUGCGGUAAGUCACCUGUGAAAUCUCCGGGCUUAACUCGGAGCCUGCAGGCGAAACUGCCGUGCUUGAGUGUGGGAGAGGUGCGUGGAAUUCCCGGUGUAGCGGUGAAAUGCGUAGAGAUUGGGAAGAACACCCGUGGCGAAGGCGGCCAACUGGACCGACAUUGACGCUGAGGCGCGAAAGCGUGGGGAUCAAAAGGG
This 253-nucleotide ribosomal RNA is filed under the name uncultured prokaryote. RNAcentral's name for it is "partial 16S ribosomal RNA". It matches the Rfam family "Bacterial small subunit ribosomal RNA", at positions 524 to 776 of the family's 1533-position model. The record is from RNAcentral.